AUGGCCGACGCAGGUCAAAGUGGAUUAUCUGUUCUUAUCAGCUUAAUAUCUGAUACGGGUUCUAUUUGGAUCCAAGAUUAAAUUAAACUUAUUUUUGCAAGUUGGCGGAUUGCUUGAAGCCGGCUUCACCUCCGCCAUGGGUCGCGGCCCAGUAUUGCACUAUCUUCGGCAUUGGCCCACGGUUU
This is a small nuclear RNA of Dermacentor andersoni, 185 nucleotides long. RefSeq annotates it as U2 spliceosomal RNA. The record is from RefSeq and is a predicted model, not a curated record. Lineage: Eukaryota; Metazoa; Arthropoda; Arachnida; Ixodida; Ixodidae.